AUUUUAGAGAUUCGAAAAAUACAGUUGUUUGACUCCACACCUGUCAGUGAUUACGCAAAAUGAUGUUGACCCAUAUG
Molecule: long non-coding RNA, 77 nt
Organism: Sander lucioperca (pikeperch)
Lineage: Eukaryota; Metazoa; Chordata; Actinopteri; Perciformes; Percidae
Exons: 3
Source: RefSeq, a predicted model, not a curated record